GACGAACGCUGGCGGCGUGCUUAACACAUGCAAGUCGAACGGAAAGGCCCUGCUUUUGUGGGGUGCCCGAGUGGCGAACGGGUGAGUAACACGUGAGUAACCUGCCCUUGACUUUGGGAUAACUUCAGGAAACUGGGGCUAAUACCGGAUAGGAGCUCCUGCUGCAUGGUGGGGGUUGGAAAGUUUCGGCGGUUGGGGAUGGACUCGCGGCUUAUCAGCUUGUUGGUGGGGUAGUGGCUUACCAAGGCUUUGACGGGUAGCCGGCCUGAGAGGGUGACCGACCACAUUGGGACUGAGAUACGGCCCAGACUCCUACGGGAGGCAGCAGUGGGGAAUAUUGCACAAUGGGCGGAAGCCUGAUGCAGCAACGCCGCGUGCGGGAUGACGGCCUUCGGGUUGUAAACCGCUUUCGCCUGUGACGAAGCGUGAGUGACGGUAAUGGGUAAAGAAGCACCGGCUAACUACGUG
This 468-nucleotide ribosomal RNA is filed under the name uncultured bacterium. RNAcentral's name for it is "partial 16S ribosomal RNA". It matches the Rfam family "Bacterial small subunit ribosomal RNA", at positions 28 to 507 of the family's 1533-position model. The record is from RNAcentral.